This 72-nucleotide transfer RNA is filed under the name Bos taurus (domestic cattle). It matches the Rfam family "tRNA". Rfam says of the family: Transfer RNA (tRNA) molecules are approximately 80 nucleotides in length. Their secondary structure includes four short double-helical elements and three loops (D, anti-codon, and T loops). The record is from Rfam by way of RNAcentral. Lineage: Eukaryota; Metazoa; Chordata; Mammalia; Artiodactyla; Bovidae. RNAcentral also lists the same sequence under 1 other name.
UCCCAGGUGGCUAAGACGGUAAAGAAUCUGUCUGCAAUGCAGGAGACCUGGGUUCAAUCCCUGGGUCGGGAA